Molecule: ribosomal RNA, 443 nt
Filed under: uncultured bacterium
Lineage: Bacteria
Description: partial 16S ribosomal RNA
Rfam family: Bacterial small subunit ribosomal RNA
Source: RNAcentral
ACUACGGGCGGCAGCAGUGGGGGAUAUUGGACAAUGGGGGGAACCCUGAUCCAGCGACGCCGCGUGAGUGAAGAAGUAUUUCGGUAUGUAAAGCUCUGUCAGCAGGGAAGAAAGAAAUGACGGUACCUGACCAAGAAGCCCCGGCUAACUACGUGCCAGCAGCCGCGGUAAUACGUAGGGGGCAAGCGUUAUCCGGAAUUACUGGGUGUAAAGGGAGCGUAGACGGUUAAGUAAGUCUGGAGUGAAAGGCCGGGGCCCAACCCCGGGACUGCUCUGGAAACUAUUGAACUUGAGUGCAGGAGAGGUAAGCGGAAUUCCUAGUGUAGCGGUGAAAUGCGUAGAUAUUAGGAGGAACACCAGUGGCGAAGGCGGCUUACUGGACUGUAACUGACGUUGAGGCUCGAAAGCGUGGGGAGCAAACAGGAUUAGAUACCCUUGUAGUC